AUACUUACCUGGCAGGGGAGAUACCAUGAUCAAGAAGGUGGUUCACCCAGGGCGAGGCUCAACCAUUGCACUUCGGUUGUCUGACCCUUGCGAAUUCCCCAAAUGCGGGAAUCUCGACUGCAUAAUUUCUGGUAGUGGGGGACUGCGUUCGCGCUCUCCCCUG
This is a small nuclear RNA of Monopterus albus (swamp eel), 163 nucleotides long. Its record names the gene U1. It matches the Rfam family "U1 spliceosomal RNA". Rfam says of the family: U1 is a small nuclear RNA (snRNA) component of the spliceosome (involved in pre-mRNA splicing). The record is from Ensembl. Lineage: Eukaryota; Metazoa; Chordata; Actinopteri; Synbranchiformes; Synbranchidae.